This 253-nucleotide ribosomal RNA is filed under the name uncultured bacterium. RNAcentral's name for it is "partial 16S ribosomal RNA". It matches the Rfam family "Bacterial small subunit ribosomal RNA", at positions 524 to 776 of the family's 1533-position model. The record is from RNAcentral.
CACGUAGGCACCAAGCGUUGUCCGGAUUUAUUGGGCGUAAAGGGCUCGUAGGCGGUUUGUCGCGUCGGGAGUGAAAACGCCGUGCUUAACACGGCGCUUGCUUUCGAUACGGGCAGACUAGAGGUAUUCAGGGGAGAACGGAAUUCCUGGUGUAGCGGUGAAAUGCGCAGAUAUCAGGAGGAACACCGGUGGCGAAGGCGGUUCUCUGGGAAUGACCUGACGCUGAGGAGCGAAAGUGUGGGGAGCGAACAGG